RNAcentral lists this ribosomal RNA (253 nucleotides) under uncultured bacterium. Its description in RNAcentral is "partial 16S ribosomal RNA". It matches the Rfam family "Bacterial small subunit ribosomal RNA", at positions 524 to 776 of the family's 1533-position model. The record is from RNAcentral.
UACAGAGGGUGCAAGCGUUAAUCGGAAUUACUGGGCGUAAAGCGUGCGUAGACGGUUACAUAAGUCGGGUGUGAAAGCCCCGGGCUCAACCUGGGAAUUGCAUUCAAGACUGCGUAGCUAGGGUGCGGAAGAGGGAAGCGGAAUUUCCGGUGUAGCGGUGAAAUGCGUAGAUAUCGGAAGGAACACCAGUGGCGAAAGCGGCUUCCUGGUCCAGCACCGACGUUCAGGCACGAAAGCGUGGGGAGCAAACAGG